RNA transcript from Alosa sapidissima (American shad), 1199 nucleotides. RefSeq lists it as uncharacterized. The record is from RefSeq and is a predicted model, not a curated record. Lineage: Eukaryota; Metazoa; Chordata; Actinopteri; Clupeiformes; Clupeidae. The transcript is spliced from 7 exons.
UACUUUCUUCUUUUGUUACUCUAUCAACUUGCAUCAUCAUGUGUAUCAUGUUAAUCCAAGAACUGAACAAUAAUUUUCAAUGGGCUGUGUGGUUGUUAAGGGGCCUGUGACAAAGAGGAUGUUUUACCAUCGUGUGUGUGAGUGCACGAGAGGGAGGGGGAGAGGGAGGUGCAUGCGUGAUGACUAUAGGCAAGUGAUAGGUUGAAUAGUUUAACCAAGCCGCUUAAAAAUAGUUGUUAGACUGUGUCCAUAUGUAUGCUAUAAGCUAUACUUUUGUGAGCCUAAAAGGCACUUUAAUAGCCAGCUUAGGACGAGAUUUAGUUUAGGUCAGAUUUAUUAUGGCUGGUCCUGGGUGCCUGUAGUCUUUUCUGCCAGUCCGUUUCAGCACAGAGAAUGGUUGCGUUAUUGGUAUGUAUAGUGUUGGACUUAAGUGUAUGUUAUUAUACAGUGUGAAGUGUAGCCAGGUGUUUUUCCAUAUCAUUUUAUUAUUGUUUAAUAUGUUAUGUUAUUGAACAUAUACUUCAUACCACACACUGUGAUUUCUUUCAUUGGAGGAGCUACCAUCAUGCUGCCCCAUGUUAUUGAGGUAGUGGGUACAACCGGUGGUGGAGGAAAUACUACAGAUGGACCACAGUAUUUGAAAUCUUUUUUUACUGACGAGGUGAUUGAAAAACUAAUGAAGCACCACAUGGAAAACAAGUCCAUAGGGCAAGGAUGCUUAGAGCAUGAAGCAGAACUGGGUGCAUGUGACCAGGAAGUAUAUGUGGACCCAUUUGUGGACAGCCACUUUUUGAGGGCUGCUCUUGGAGCUGUUACCAAGCAGUACUUGAAAAGAACCGUGAAAUCAGUGAAAUACCUGCCACAGAAUAGACCUGCCUGGUGGCCACUGAGCAUUCCAUUUGUGUCCCCAAACGAUGGAAAAAAUCCUAAAAGAAGAGAGCUGGAUGCCGAUGCCCUGCAGGCAGUUGCAGUGUCCUACAACACAUUUUAUGGACUCAAGCCAGGCAAUGAUGGACAUGAACAGGAAGAAGAAGCUGGGACAACUUCUCAAGACAAAAGUCAAUAAAUGGAAUAAAUCACUUUUGGCUUUAACCAGGCAAGACAUCAACGAACUCCACUCUGGCAGAAACUAUUUUGGUGCAUUUAAGUUUCAAUUACAAGUAUGAGUACAUAUUCUCUAAUAAAGAUUCUUCACUGUA